AGUGAACGCUGGCGGUAGGCCUAACACAUGCAAGUCGAACGGCAGCACAGUAAGGGCUUGCUCUUACGGGUGGCGAGUGGCGGACGGGUGAGGAAUACAUCGGAAUCUACUUUUUCGUGGGGGAUAACGUAGGGAAACUUACGCUAAUACCGCAUACGACCUACGGGUGAAAGCAGGGGAUCUUCGGACCUUGCGCGAUUGAAUGAGCCGAUGUCGGAUUAGCUAGUUGGCGGGGUAAAGGCCCACCAAGGCGACGAUCCGUAGCUGGUCUGAGAGGAUGAUCAGCCACACUGGAACUGAGACACGGUCCAGACUCCUACGGGAGGCAGCAGUGGGGAAUAUUGGACAAUGGGCGCAAGCCUGAUCCAGCCAUACCGCGUGGGUGAAGAAGGCCUUCGGGUUGUAAAGCCCUUUUGUUGGGAAAGAAAAGCAGCAGGUUAAUACCCCGCCGUUCUGACGGUACCCAAAGAAUAAGCACCGGCUAACUUCGUG
Molecule: ribosomal RNA, 492 nt
Filed under: uncultured bacterium
Lineage: Bacteria
Description: partial 16S ribosomal RNA
Rfam family: Bacterial small subunit ribosomal RNA
Source: RNAcentral